This 253-nucleotide ribosomal RNA is filed under the name uncultured prokaryote. Its description in RNAcentral is "partial 16S ribosomal RNA". It matches the Rfam family "Bacterial small subunit ribosomal RNA", at positions 525 to 777 of the family's 1533-position model. The record is from RNAcentral.
ACGAGGUGGACAAACGUUAUUCGGAUUUACUGGGCUUAAAGCGUGCGUAGGCGGCUCAGAAAGUUGGGUGUGAAAGCCCUCGGCUCAACCGAGGAAUUGCGCUCAAAACUACUGAGCUCGAGUGAGAUAGGGGAGAGCGGAACUGAUGGUGGAGCGGUGAAAUGCGUUGAUAUCGAGAGGAACACCUGCGGCGAAGGCGGGUUGCUGGGCUGACACUGACGCUGAGGCGCGAAAGCUAGGGGAGCAAACAGGA